CUAACACACACCAGUGUAUGUCAAACAUAAGUACAGAAUUUUAUUUAAAUUUUGAACUGCAACUUCGCGGUGGUAGAGCUGCAUCUAUCUCUCGCCUACGCUUGUGGGGUUAGACAGUUCUGGAAUGUGCGCAGAGGAGUGGAGUCACAUGGUGAUUAUGAGCCAUUCCUUACAUCCCUUUAAACUUUGGAGCCUAAGAAGUCAAUAGUUUGGUUAUACGUCUGAGUUUGGUUGUACGGAGUUUGGAAGACAAGAAGAGGUCUCCCUAUACAGUCCCCACUUUGAAAUUCCCGUUUGUAGUCUCCAGACCUCAAAAGUCAGUGGUCUCACAGAAGAGCCCAGGAGUCAUUGGUUUCCCGCUUUUGGCCCAAGCUCCCGGCGUAACGAAUGCUAACGCAGAACCUCCGCCGACAGCCGCUGCGUCCCGUCCCCCGCUGGUCUAGUCGCCCGCCGCCAACCCCGGGGGCGGGCGCUGCGCCAGGGCUUCGGGACCCAGUGCCAGACCCAGAGCGCCGCCGGGCACCCGAGGGUGACAGCAGGAGAGAAGAGGUGAACACUGGAAAAACAUGACUGAUUCUGUGCAACUUGGAAAAGGAAAAGUCAUCAGCAAGUCCCAUCCUUACCACACACAAAUACAUUACAGAGAGGGCCAAGCUGGAGGUGGUGUUGUUGACAGAAACAUUGUAAGCAGAGAAGGUGAAUCAAUCCAUGGAGUAUCCCUAUCACACUGGAUGAAGCUCAGAAUUGGCCUAAAGAAAGUGGAAGUGAGAAACACACAGGCCGGUCAGAGGCACACAGCUGCCUUCUCUCCCAGCUGACUUUGGGCAACCACACAAGGCAAAGCCAGAGGAACCAAGAAAGGUAUUAAUUGGCAUCUACUGAACCCCGAAGACCUUCACUAGCAUUAGUGGAGCGUCAAACAAGGAAUGAACUCACUAACCAGGAUGGCCAAAGUGGGAAGCAUGAAGAGAAGUGCAUUCUGAGACUUAUUUUAAAGGAGCCGGGGAGCAAGUGCCAAACCCUUCCGCACACGGGCUCUCACUGUCCCCCUCCCUGCUCCCGGAGGUGGCGAUUAUGUGUCCCUGCUUGGCUCAGGCCUGAAGCACACCCUGGCCGGGAGGCAGCUGGCACUGGCCCAGGCAUGAAUCCGUGCCUACCCCUCCGGGCCCCACUUCCAGCAGGUCACCCGGGUCUGUGUUGUCACCUUGAAACAUUCGAGAGAGUUGUGAGCUUCAGAAGGUGAGACGUGUGGGGCUGGGGGCAGGGCAGGCCAGCCCGGGAGGGUGGCUGGAGAGCUUUUGACAGCCCAGAGCAGAGCCCAGGGUCCUAUUCCUGACAACGUGAGCCCCCAGGCAGGCGCCGAGUGGAUAAGAGUGUAGACAGUGAGGCCGGCCGUGAUGCUUGCCAGCACCUGCAGAUAGCAGGCAAAUAAUUGGCACAUGUUUAAAAAAAAAUUAAAAAGCUAUUGGAUGUGAGUAUUUUCUAACAGCGUCUGGCGGGAGUGCCCGGGAGGAAUUUAAUCAGCAAGAGUUGUUUAAACGGGGCUUUGCACACAGGCCCUGGCGAGGCUCGUAAUGAACUCCGUAUCAUGUGCCACCCCUGUCUGCUGGGGACAUUCAAUUUGUUAAUUCUGCAGCUGGUGAGAGAGGUCAGAUAGGAAAGUGACGAUUGUUUUCUGACGUUCCAGCCCCUGCUCACAUCUUUCUAAUUAAUCCUUUUAGGAGCCACGGGUAGAUUAAGAAGGAGAAAAGGUGCAGGCAGCAAGCGUGAGAGAAAUUGAUGGGAAGACA
This 1790-nucleotide long non-coding RNA is filed under the name Canis lupus familiaris (dog). RNAcentral describes it as "lncRNA (ENSCAFG00040011121.1)". The record is from RNAcentral. Lineage: Eukaryota; Metazoa; Chordata; Mammalia; Carnivora; Canidae.